UCUGCCCCUAGAGGCGUUGCAGGUGGGGCUGCUGUGCUGCAGAUGCAUCAGUAGGUGGCAGAGGAGAGAGGCCUUGUCUUCACUCAGUGUUCUGACCUAUGAGCAUCUGAAUGAUUAGCAGUCUACCAUU
Acomys russatus (golden spiny mouse) is the source of this 130-nucleotide small nucleolar RNA. RefSeq annotates it as small nucleolar RNA SNORA17. Lineage: Eukaryota; Metazoa; Chordata; Mammalia; Rodentia; Muridae. The record is from RefSeq and is a predicted model, not a curated record. The transcript has a single exon.